Molecule: ribosomal RNA, 62 nt
Filed under: Actinomycetota bacterium
Lineage: Bacteria; Bacillati; Actinomycetota
Description: Actinobacteria bacterium partial 16S ribosomal RNA
Rfam family: Bacterial small subunit ribosomal RNA
Source: RNAcentral
CUUUCUAUGGAGAGUUUGAUCCUGGCUCAGGACGAACGCUGGCGGCGUGCUUAACACAUGCA